AACGCACGAGACCUGCGGACCUGCGGAGGGAUCAUUAAUGAGAAGCUGCCCCUCGUGGGUAGACCUCCCACCCUCUGUGAACUUACCUUUGUUGCUUUGGCAGGCCCGUCCUCUGGACCGCCGGCUUCGGCUGGCCCGUGCCUGCCAGAGGAUUCCAAACCCUGUCUGUCAGUGUUGUCUGAGUCUAUAUGAAAUCGUUAAAACUUUCAGCAACGGAUCUCUAGAUCGGAAGAGCACACG
This 240-nucleotide unclassified non-coding RNA is filed under the name soil metagenome. RNAcentral describes it as "partial contains 5.8S ribosomal RNA, internal transcribed spacer 2, and large subunit ribosomal RNA". The record is from RNAcentral.